This 494-nucleotide ribosomal RNA is filed under the name uncultured bacterium. RNAcentral's name for it is "partial 16S ribosomal RNA". It matches the Rfam family "Bacterial small subunit ribosomal RNA", at positions 28 to 507 of the family's 1533-position model. The record is from RNAcentral.
GACGAACGCUGGCGGCGUGCUUAACACAUGCAAGUCGAACGGAAAGGCCUGCUUUCCCUUGUGGAUUGCGGGUGCUCGAGUGGCGAACGGGUGAGUAACACGUGAGUGAUCUGCCCCCAACUUGGGUAUAAGCCUGGGAAACUGGGUCUAAUUCCCGAUAGGACUGCAGGGUGGUGCCUGUGGUGGAAAACGAUUUUCUAGUGGUUGGGGAAGAGCUCGCGGCCUAUCAGCUUGUUGGUGGGGUAAUGGCCUACCAAGGCGGCGACGGGUAGCCGGCCUGAGAGGGUGGACGGCCACAUUGGGACUGAGAUACGGCCCAGACUCCUACGGGAGGCAGCAGUGGGGAAUAUUGCACAAUGGGCGGAAGCCUGAUGCAGCGACGCCGCGUGGGGGAUGACGGCCUUCGGGUUGUAAACUCCUUUCGACCGCGAGGAAGCCGCCUGGUUGGAAGGGUGGUGACGGUAGUGGUAGAAGAAGCACCGGCUAACUACGUG